GUCCGCACUGUAAACGAUGAUUACUCGCUGCUGGGAGGUAACUUUCAGUGGCUUAGCGAAAGCGAUAAGUAAUCCACCUGGGGAGUACGCCGGCAACGGUGAAACUCAAAGGAAUUGACGGGGGCCCGCACAAGCGGAGGAGCAUGUGGUUUAAUUCGAUGAUACGCGAGGAACCUUACCAGGGCUUGAAAGUUAGUGACCGACUCUGAAAGGAGUCUUUCAGCAAUGACACGAAACUAGGUGCUGCAUGGCUGUCGU
This 258-nucleotide ribosomal RNA is filed under the name uncultured bacterium. RNAcentral describes it as "partial 16S ribosomal RNA". It matches the Rfam family "Bacterial small subunit ribosomal RNA", at positions 793 to 1055 of the family's 1533-position model. The record is from RNAcentral.